CGUAGGGACCGAGCGUUGUCCGGAUUUAUUGGGUUUAAAGGGUGCGUAGGCGGCUUUUUAAGUCAGGGGUGAAAGACGGUGGCUCAACCAUCGCAGUGCCUUUGAUACUGAAGAGCUUGAUUAAACUUGAGGUAGGCGGAAUGUGACAAGUAGCGGUGAAAUGCAUAGAUAUGUCACAGAACACCGAUUGCGAAGGCAGCUUACUAAGGUUUGAAUGACGCUGAGGCACGAAAGCGUGGGGAUCAAACAGGAUUAGAUACCCUGGUAGUCCACGCCCUAAACGAUGAAUACUCGAUGUUAGCGAUAUACCGUUAGCGUCAAAGCGAAAGCGUUAAGUAUUCCACCUGGGGAGUACGCCCGCAAGGGUG
Molecule: ribosomal RNA, 368 nt
Filed under: uncultured organism
Description: bacterial SSU rRNA
Rfam family: Bacterial small subunit ribosomal RNA
Source: RNAcentral